AUUGAUCGCAGUGUGCUUAACGAGAUGCUUUUGAGUGCCGGCGAUGCCUAACAAGUAAUCGUCGCGUAGGCUAAAAAUUUCAAUGAUAAAGAGUUUGCAACCACUGUUUCAUCUGAAAAGGUCACAUAUUAAAUAUCCGUCACAUACUAAAUACACCUGCCUCAAAAGAGUCGCGCGAUUCUAAAAUUACCUCAAACUUAAGU
Molecule: long non-coding RNA, 203 nt
Organism: Wasmannia auropunctata (little fire ant)
Lineage: Eukaryota; Metazoa; Arthropoda; Insecta; Hymenoptera; Formicidae
Exons: 3
Source: RefSeq, a predicted model, not a curated record